This 402-nucleotide ribosomal RNA is filed under the name uncultured bacterium. Its description in RNAcentral is "bacterial SSU rRNA". It matches the Rfam family "Bacterial small subunit ribosomal RNA", at positions 355 to 774 of the family's 1533-position model. The record is from RNAcentral.
UGGGGAAUCUUGCACAAUGGGGGCAACCCUGAUGCAGCGACGCCGCGUGAGCGAUGAAGCCCUUCGGGGCGUAAAGCUCUUUCGACCGGAACGAUAAUGACGGUACCGGGAGAAGAAGCUGCGGCUAACUACGUGCCAGCAGCCGCGGUAAUACGUAGGCAGCAAGCGUUGUUCGGAGUUACUGGGCGUAAAGAGUGCGUAGGCGGUUUUCUAAGUUCGGUGUGAAAUCUCCCGGCUUAACUGGGAGGGUGCGCCGAAGACUGGGAAGCUGGAGUGUGGGAAAGGCAGGCGGAAUUCCUGGUGUAACGGUGAAAUGCGUAGAUAUCAGGAGGAACACCGGCGGUGUAGACGGCUUGCUAGACCAUAACUGACGCUGAGGCACGAAAGCGUGGGUAGCAAACA